ACAGCAGCAGCCGCGGGAAUACAGAGGAUGCAAGCGUUAUCCGGAAUGAUUGGGCGUAAAGCGUCUGUAGGUGGCUUUUCAAGUCCGCCAUCAAAUCCCAGGGCUCAACCCUGGACAGGCGGUGGAAAAUACCAAGCUGGAGUACGGUAGGGGCAGAGGGAAUUUCCGGUGGAGCGGUGAAAUGCGUUGAGAUUGGAAAGAACACCAACAGCGAAAGCACUCUGCUGGGACGACACUGACACUAAGAGACGAAAGCUAGGGGAGCAAAUGGGAUUAGAUACCCCCGUAGUCCCUGUCUCUUAUAC
RNAcentral lists this ribosomal RNA (305 nucleotides) under uncultured bacterium. RNAcentral describes it as "partial 16S ribosomal RNA". It matches the Rfam family "Bacterial small subunit ribosomal RNA", at positions 505 to 807 of the family's 1533-position model. The record is from RNAcentral.